CAUACCUAUUCGAAGGGAUAGGGUCGGUUUGGCCGGAUUUCACACAGGUGUUGCAUGGCUGUCGUCAGCUCGUGUCGUGAGAUGUUGGGUUAAGUCCCGCAACGAGCGCAACCCUCAUCCUUAGUUACCAUCAGGUUAUGCUGGGGACUUUAAGGAAACUGCCAGUGAUAAACUGGAGGAAGGUGGGGAUGAUGUCAAGUCAUCAUGGCCCUUAUGGAGUGGGCUACACACGUGCUACAAUGGUGAUUACAAUGGGCUGCAAGGUCGCAAGGCUGAGCUAAUCCCAAAAAAUCAUCUCAGUUCGGAUUGUUCUCUGCAACUCGAGAGCAUGAAGUUGGAAUCGCUAGUAAUAGUGGAUCAGCAUGCCACGGUGAAUACGUUCUCGGGUCUUGUACACACUGCCCGUCACGCCAUGGGAAUUGGUUUCACUCGAAGCU
Molecule: ribosomal RNA, 437 nt
Filed under: Wolbachia endosymbiont of Aphis gossypii
Lineage: Bacteria; Pseudomonadati; Pseudomonadota; Alphaproteobacteria; Rickettsiales; Anaplasmataceae
Description: bacterial SSU rRNA
Rfam family: Bacterial small subunit ribosomal RNA
Source: RNAcentral